CAGCAGUUGGGAAUUUCACAAUGGGGGAAAGCCUGAUCCAGCAAUGCCGCGUGAAUGAUGAAGCCCUUAGGGUUGUAAAGUAAUAUUAGUUUUCAAGAAACAACCCUGUUCCCGCCUAGGUAUGACGGUACCUCAAGAAUAAGCACCGGCUAACUACGUG
Molecule: ribosomal RNA, 160 nt
Filed under: uncultured bacterium
Lineage: Bacteria
Description: partial 16S ribosomal RNA
Rfam family: Bacterial small subunit ribosomal RNA
Source: RNAcentral